ACAGUGGGGAAUUUUUUACAAUGGGCGAAAGCCUGAUCCAGCAACGCCGCGUGAAUGAUGAAGGCCUUCGGGUUGUAAAGCUCUGUUGUCAGGGACGAAAAAUUCCCUUUUGAACCGGGCGGUACUUUGCCGUUCCUUCAGAAGAAACCCCCGGUAAAUUUCUUCCCGCCCGCCCGGUUAAUCCGAGGGGGGCAACCUUUUUCCGGAAUUCUUGGGGUAAAACGCGGGUCGGGCGGUCGUGUAAUUCUGAUUGAAAACCCCGGGGUUCACCCCCGGAAUGCAUUUGAAACUGCUGGUCUUGAGUGCAGAAGAGGGAAGCGGAAUUCCCCGUGUAGCGGUGAAAUGCGUAGAGAUCUGGAGGAACACCAGUGGCGAAGGCGGCUUUCUGGUCUGUAACUGACGCUGAGGCGCGAAAGCGUGGGGAGCAAACAGGAUUAGAUACCCUGGUAGUCCACGCCGUAAACGAUGAGUGC
RNAcentral lists this ribosomal RNA (473 nucleotides) under uncultured Bacillus sp. RNAcentral's name for it is "bacterial SSU rRNA". It matches the Rfam family "Bacterial small subunit ribosomal RNA", at positions 351 to 816 of the family's 1533-position model. The record is from RNAcentral. Lineage: Bacteria; Bacillati; Bacillota; Bacilli; Caryophanales; Bacillaceae.